GCAUCGAUAGCUCAUCGGCAGAGUUGUGAGGCGUUGACCCAUGCGGCCGGGUUCGAGCCCCGGUCGAUGCA
Molecule: non-coding RNA, 71 nt
Organism: Phthorimaea operculella (potato tuberworm)
Lineage: Eukaryota; Metazoa; Arthropoda; Insecta; Lepidoptera; Gelechiidae
Source: the annotation of a GenBank genome assembly